GAUGAACGCUGGCGGCGUGCCUAAUACAUGCAAGUCGAGCGAACGGACGAGAAGCUUGCUUCUCUGAUGUUAGCGGCGGACGGGUGAGUAACACGUGGAUAACCUACCUAUAAGACUGGGAUAACUUCGGGAAACCGGAGCUAAUACCGGAUAAUAUUUUGCACCGCAUGGUUCAAAAGUGAAAGACGGUCUUGCUGUCACUUAUAGAUGGAUCCGCGCUGCAUUAGCUAGUUGGUAAGGUAACGGCUUACCAAGGCAACGAUGCAUAGCCGACCUGAGAGGGUGAUCGGCCGCACGGGAACUGAGACACGGACCAGGCUCCUACGGGAGGCAGCAGUAGGGAAUGUUCCGCAAUGGGCGAAAGCCUGGCGGAGCAACGCCGCGUGAGUGAUGAAGGUCUUCGGAUCGUAAAACUCUGUUAUUAGGGAAGAACAUAUGUGUAAGUAACUGUGCACUUCUUGACGGUACCUAAUCAGAAAGCCACGGCUAACUACGUG
RNAcentral lists this ribosomal RNA (497 nucleotides) under uncultured bacterium. RNAcentral describes it as "partial 16S ribosomal RNA". It matches the Rfam family "Bacterial small subunit ribosomal RNA", at positions 28 to 507 of the family's 1533-position model. The record is from RNAcentral.